AACGAACGCUGGCGGCAGGCUUAACACAUGCAAGUCGAGGGGCAGCACGGGUAGCAAUACCUGGUGGCGACCGGCGCAAGGGUGCGUAACGCGUGAGCAACAUGCCCUAUACAGGGGGAUAAUCCAGGGAAACUUGGUCUAAUAUCCCAUAGUAUUUAGAGGAGGCAUCUUCUAUAAAUUAAAGCUUCGGUGGUAUAGGAUUGGCUCGCGUGACAUUAGCUAGAUGGUGAGGUAACGGCUCACCAUGGCAAUGAUGUCUAGGGGUUCUGAGAGGAAGGCCCCCCACACUGGGACUGAGACACGGCCCAGACUCCUACGGGAGGCAGCAGUGAGGAAUAUUGGACAAUGGAUGGAAAUCUGAUCCAGCCAUGCCGCGUGCAGGAAGACAGCCCUAUGGGUUGUAAACUGCUUUUAUAUGGGAGCAAUAAGGUCUACGUGUAGACUGAUGAGAGUACCAUAUGAAUAAGC
RNAcentral lists this ribosomal RNA (468 nucleotides) under uncultured bacterium. RNAcentral describes it as "bacterial SSU rRNA". It matches the Rfam family "Bacterial small subunit ribosomal RNA", at positions 29 to 491 of the family's 1533-position model. The record is from RNAcentral.